GUGAGUCCCCUGUUGGUGAGUGUAAAAUGACACGCAUGUCCCCUGUUGGAUAGUUACACAUGAACAGCAAAAUGAACAUGUAAGUGUAACCCAGAGUAAAAUCUGCCCUUAAGCCCGCCUUCACUGCUCCAGAUGCAGUACCAUUGGUUAGAGUGACAGUCAGUCACAUAGUGCAUUCAGCCAAUCACUGCAUCUGGAGUGAAUACAGGCCUGCUCCAGCUUCCCCAGUGAGGUGUGAGGGUGAGAGCUGGAGACAAAGGUGCUACAGGUUUGUGCUUCCAAACAACUAGUUAAUCUCUCUGUUUACUUUGCACUUUUAAGACUCACAAUGUAACAAUCAUUUGGAUCUGAACACUCAGUGAGCUUGGAGCUAUGAAGCUGACAUGAACUGAACCUGUAAAUGGAACUGGACUAGCUGUAAUACCAGAGCACGAGAAGGGAUCGUUUCUACGUCAGAGGCAGCAGCAGUCGCAGCAACGCCCCCGCACCACAUCUCACAUUCAGGGAGGACGACCCUGUGAAUGAAAAAAUUAUCUUCCAGAUAAAUAAAUUCUUGUGUUUGGAUUUGCACUGAAUAUGCUCAAAACUUCACAACUGCUGGUAUGUGAAUGAGUGGAGAAAACUUUUGCGUGAAAACAGAAAAGCAGAUGCUAUUUCUGUAAGUGUGUGUGUGAUGUUGUGCUUUACAUGUUCCUGGGACACUCAGACAGUUCUUUGUUCUUCCAUCCGCUGCUCGUCUCUAAUCAUCUUGAAGCCAUGUCUUCCUUCCCUCAAACAACAACAACAUGAGUAAAGCUGCCACCAGUCCAAUUAGAUGUGAGACUGUGACAGUGUUAAGAUCUGCUUCGCCUGACACUCGCACCUUAUCAUGUCACUCACUAAUGAGAACUCUCCGGGGUGACUGCAUCCAUGAUGAUGAAGCAGUCACGUUUUUUUUUCUCUCUCUCUUUCUCUCUCUCUCCUCCCCUUCAUGCGCUUUCAUCUGCCUCUGAUCUCCGCGGCUCCGCUCUCAGGCGGGCUCGAUUCUCAAGAUUCUCCGCGCCUUCCCGGCCGUAUGGUCAACAGGAAAUGAGGAAAGGCUGAAUCACGCUGUGAAGGCUGUCCCCGUCAUCAAUAAAACCUUUGUGAUGAGGCUUAAUGUAUUUUCUAAGAAGUCCCUGCUGCUCCAUGUGAGACGGAGAGCCGUGAGACGGGACUUCUCCUUAUCGGUUUGCUUUGUGCGUUUCGUCUUUUGAUGUUAAUCUGGCCUGCGAACAGCUUCGGAAACCGAAUCUGAGAUUUACGCUGAGUGUGGACAGUUUUUCUAAAAUUUACUCCAGCCUCCACAUUUAUUACCGCUUCUGAUAAGCGGCAAUACAUCUUGUACAAUACUUCAGAUUUUGAUAUCGAAUCGACACCAAGCAAAUGCAGGACCAGACUCACUGAUAUUGAUAUGGGUACUGAUACCAAUGCGAUACUUUUAAUUGUCUAGGUUUGAAAUAUCAUGAAGCUUCAAAGGUUUUUCCUUUGAUUUAUUUUGUUAAAACCUAGGACAGAAUCUGAACAUAGUUUAUGCCUACAAAAUACUUUAAUAACAUACUAACAUGAUAAUCAGAAACAUUAGAAAAUCUGAACAAAUUAGCAUGUUUCCCCCCUAAACAAACCGAAGCGCUUUGUGAUCUUGAUGGGGCAGUUUGAGUGGAUCUCAUCCUGUUACAUCAACCUUAAUUUGGGAUGGAGGCUCACUCGGCUCCUUACCAGCACGCCUCUUUCAUGUCCUGCGUGAAAAAGAUGCAGCCAUUGCUUUGAGCAAUCGCAUGAGGUUUGCACGUGCGCGUUGAGCGGCGUUGACAAAAAGCGUGUGAGUCACAAAGUUAAUUAUAUAUAUAAAAGGCUCUUCUCUGUGUGCUGCUUUUCAUCCCGUUUCUGCGUUAAUACCCGCAGGCUUCUGUUUCCAUCUGUCUCCCCGUUUCUUUGUUGUAUGCUUUCAUGCCCCGAGGAUUGUGUCUCUGUCCUGAUCGCUCUGCGCCUCCAGACUUUCUUCUCUUUUUAAUGUGCACCGACUUCUGAAUGAAGCAUGAGACGUGACGUAUCUCGACAUUGGAGCACAUCAACCGUGCCACAUAAGCAGGCCUGACACUUAAUUGUCUACGGUAUGGAUAAGUGUACAAACGGCUUCGAAAGUGUGAUUUUUGUUUUCUGAAACACCAACAGAGAUAAAAAUAGUAGACUGAAUGUAUUUUCUCUGUGGUCUUAAGAGAAUAACAGCGCCCCGCCUCUUUAAACAGACACAAACAAAGAACACACUGUCUGACGUCGACGUUCAGCUCUGAGGCAAUCCAUCGCAGACGAGUGAAGAAAAAAAAAGAGAAGAAAAACGCCCCUGGAAUGAAAACAAAACAGGCAGAGCUUUGAUGAGUUGCUGAACUUGUCAUUGUUCCUGUUGCAUAAACCGAAACGCCUGCAGGCAGGUGCACCGUAAUGAUGUCACUGGUGACUUUGGAUCAGGCAAAGUGGGGCAGACAAAGAAGUCAGGGCUGCAUCAGCUGGUCUGCGUGUGUUUCACUUUAAACCAUCAAGACCUGAGACGCCCCGCCAUCGUGGGAACAGCUGGGAUCAUGUGUUACGUCAGCUGUUGAAAUUUAUGGAAACCCAGGCUAUAUCUCCGUCGAGUUUUGGACGGUUUAGGUUCUUCUUUCACAAACUGGUCAAUGUAAACCUGCACAGGUUCUGCAGCGAGUUUCGUGUUGUUUGGAAAUUCCAUCAGCCAUUGGGACUUUUGGUAGUUCAGGCAGAUAAAGGAAUGUUGUUUGAUGGGUUGGUGUCAAACCUCAGCUCUGUUUGUUGUUUUUCUCAGACCUGCAACCAACUAUGUACUAUGGUAUGCAGUUAUGUAACUGAGGUAUUGCUGUUGUGUCGUGGCGAGGUGCAGUAAAUAAAUAAUUCUCCUUA
This is a non-coding RNA of Poecilia reticulata (guppy), 2931 nucleotides long. The record is from RefSeq and is a predicted model, not a curated record. NCBI's taxonomy places the organism in Eukaryota, Metazoa, Chordata, Actinopteri, Cyprinodontiformes, Poeciliidae.